Gasterosteus aculeatus aculeatus (three-spined stickleback) is the source of this 2193-nucleotide long non-coding RNA. NCBI's taxonomy places the organism in Eukaryota, Metazoa, Chordata, Actinopteri, Perciformes, Gasterosteidae. The record is from Ensembl.
UUAGGGGUUCGGUGUCCUCUUCAGGGUUGCUUGGACAGAGGUGAACCCUCGGUCUUCAGACAACAGGCUCUCCUGCCUGGACCACCGCCACACCCACAUUGAGCUAAAUUCUUUCUUGAGUUGUCUCCCUUGUUUUAGUCUGCCCCCCCACCGGUGUUAAUGAUGUCAUUCUGAAAAGUAUUAUCAACCUCAUCUGUGAAGAUCCAGACUCUUUUCAAAAAGUAUCUGGCCUCCACUGCUGAGGAUGGAGAGAGGGACAUGGCAUUCAGUGUCGGGGGGGUUCUCAUGAUCCGUCUGGAAAGCCAGACGACGUGGGAAUUGUGAUCAACACAUUGAUGUCCUGAAACAACACAGAUGGGGUCCUCAUGACAUUCAUCAUGCUUCGUGCUCAUUUGUGCCAUUGAUCUGAGCUUUCUAAACAACCUUAAGUACAGCAUGAGGCUUUUCCAGAAGAUCAUAAAAGAAAUUCAAAGAUACAGCAACUGAAGAUCAAGUUGUUUGCACAGGAGUCAAACACCAAGUGAGAAAGCAAAUUAACUUCAUCCGCUCUUUGGGCAUCCAUUGGACCUGUUUCUGCACAUGAUAAUACAGCUAUUCUUCAAUGUAAAUGACCAAUUGCAUGAAUGCAUCUUUGUUUAUAUGGGCCAUGUGUACUACAAGGAAAGAAAACAAAGCUGUAAUGCUCUUGAUAAACAAAGUAGUGAGAAUUUAGCAAUUGCAAAAUUGGUUGUGUAUCAAUUGCAGGAAUUUCUUCUGUGCUUUUUUUGAAAGGUGGUCCAUGGAGAAUGAGCAGAACGUUCAAUGCAAAGAUUUCUCCUCUUUGGAAAGCAGUGCGAAGCCUCCACCCUCGUGGCGUCUUUGUUGCGUCAGGUACCAUGACAUUUGGGAUAGCUUUGGAUUUAUGUUUCACUAUUUAAUACUAUUUAAGAUAUAUAUUAAUAUUUCAUCAGGAAAUAUCCACAUGCUAACUCUCUCAAAUCUGACACUGACAUUCUCUCACGAUCUACUUUUGUAUGUUACCAAACUAACUGCCGGACAUAAAAGUGGAAGUUUACCUAUAACUCUGUGUACAGCUAGUGAUAAAGUUUAGCUUGUCGUAAGCAAGACUGAGAGCAAAGAUUGUCGUAAGCAAGACUGAGAGCAAAGAGUACAAUAAACCUUGUACCCUGAUGCUGAUACCAGCUGUGGAAUUUGGCAAGAGUGCUGCCGUUUGGGUACUACUACUACUACUACUACUACACAAGAACAGCUUUGCAUAUUGAUUUGUAUACUUCCAACAUCUCCGGGUCAUGAUGAAAUGUAGGCCCACACAAGUUGGUACAAUUUUCAGUUUGUUUACUGUUAACUUAUUAUGAUAAGAUAAUGAAUGCAGCUUCAACAAAGUAAAGUAAACCAUGACUUGAUUUGACAUAGUGGGAGCUUUCUGUGUGAUGCGGCUCGGUGCUUCAUGCUCAUUUGCAAUGUAAAGUGUGAAGAGGAGUGGAGCUGCGUCUGCUCCCUGUGGAACGCCCGCACUCCAGAUAGCCAGUCUUUUCUAUUACUAGAGGGCUCUAUGAUGAUGAUGGGCAAAAUGUACAACAUUUAGUGAGGUUAUGAUUGGCUGGAGGGGCAAUCGUUACUACAUCCACUUAACUAAAGAUCACUGCUGUAAGCCCCGAGGCUACACGGGGAACGUGAGCGUGAAUGGCCGUCUCUUUUUGUGUGUCAGCGCUGGGAUUGACCGAUGACCUGUUCAAGGCGUACGCCACCUCUCAUCCCGAUGUUGGAGCUGCAGCUGCAGCCACGCACGACCCUCCAAGCGGUUGAAGAUAAUACAUGGAUGGAUUUUUGACCUCACAAGAUGCACCUAAAGAAUAUCUUUCAUACGCACUUCUGAUAUGAUCAGGAGAAUGGUUAAAGAAUGUGUCUAGAGUCAAUUACAUGUGGAUUUGUGCUUUGAAUCAUGCCUUGUCCAUUAAGUCAUUUUCUCUCCCUCUCUCUCUACCUCUUUUGAAUAGGCACUUCCUCAUUUUAAUGUUUAUCUUUAUCUGCAUCAUGGCUUUCUUCAUUUUAUGAAUCUACCUUUUUUCUUAUUUCUCUGGCAUUUGCGUUAUUUUGCGUAAUAAUGCAUGACAUUUUCCAUUCACUGCAGUGCUUCAACAUUUGAAUGUUUUGAAUGAAUGCUUUUACAUUUGCAUAUACAGUAUAAGCAGG